Molecule: unclassified non-coding RNA, 338 nt
Filed under: soil metagenome
Description: partial contains 5.8S ribosomal RNA, internal transcribed spacer 2, and large subunit ribosomal RNA
Rfam family: 5.8S ribosomal RNA (bases 1-120)
Source: RNAcentral
GAUGAAGAACGUAGCGAAAUGCGAUAAGUAAUGUGAAUUGCAGAAUUCAGUGAAUCAUCGAAUCUUUGAACGCACAUUGCGCCCGCCAGCAUUCUGGCGGGCAUGCCUGUUCGAGCGUCAUUUCAACCCUCAAGCUCUGCUUGGUGUUGGGGCCCUACGGUUGACGUAGGCCCUUAAAGGUAGUGGCGGACCCUCUCGGAGCCUCCUUUGCGUAGUAACUAACGUCUCGCAUUGGGAUUCGGAGGGACUCUUGCCGUAAAACCCCCAAAUUUUCCAAUGGUUGACCUCGGAUCAGGUAGGAAUACCCGCUGAACUUAAGCAUAUCAAUAAGCGGAGGA